GACGAACGCUAGCGGCGUGCCUUAGGCAUGCAAGUGGAACGACCCAUCUUCGGAUGGGAAGUCGCGAACGGCUGAGUAACACGUAGGAAUCUACCCCUUGGUGGAGAAUACCUCACCGAAAGGUGAGUUAAUACUGCAUAAGAUUUUUAAUGAAAGGGCGUAACUGCCCGCCGAGGGAGGAGCCUGCGGCCCAUCAGCUUGUUGGUAGGGUAAUGGCCUACCAAGGCUAUGACGGGUAGGGGGCGUGAGAGCGUGUUCCCCCAGAAAGGCACUGAGAUACGGGCCUUACACCUACGGGUGGCAGCAACCGGGAAUUGUGCGCAAUGGACGAAAGUCUGACGCCGCGACGCCGCGUGAGGGAUGAAGGCCUUUGGGUUGUAAACCUCUUUUGCCAAGUGGGAGACUACUUGGAGAAUAAGCACCGGCUAACUACGUGCCAGCAGCAGCGGUAAUACGUAGGGUGCAAGCGUUGUCCGGAUUUACUGGGCGUAAAGCGUCUCGUAGGCGUCUUGAAAAGUCGUGUUUCAAAUCCCAGGGCUCAACCUUGGAAAGGGGCACGAUACUUUCAGGAUUGAAAGGUUUUGGGGCUACUGGAACUGUCGGUGUAGGGGUGAAAUCCGUUGAUAUCGACAGGAACACCAAGGGCGAAGGCGGGUAGCUAGGAACACUUUGACGCUGAGGAACGAAAGCUAGGGGAGCAAACGGGAUUAGAGACCCCGGUAGUCCUAGCCGUAAACGAUGCUCGCUAGGGAUGUGUCCUUUUAGGAUGCGUCUCGCAAGCUAACGCGUUAAGCGAGCCGCCUGGGGAGUACGAUCGCAAGAUUAAAACUCAAAGGAAUUGACGGGGA
RNAcentral lists this ribosomal RNA (848 nucleotides) under uncultured bacterium. RNAcentral describes it as "bacterial SSU rRNA". It matches the Rfam family "Bacterial small subunit ribosomal RNA", at positions 28 to 919 of the family's 1533-position model. The record is from RNAcentral.